GUGGGUGGUGAUUGGGAUGAAGUCGUAACAAGGUAACCGUUGGGGAACCAGCGGUUGGAUCACCUCCUUU
Molecule: ribosomal RNA, 70 nt
Filed under: Kiritimatiellia bacterium
Lineage: Bacteria; Pseudomonadati; Kiritimatiellota; Kiritimatiellia
Description: Kiritimatiellae bacterium (gut metagenome) partial 16S ribosomal RNA
Rfam family: Bacterial small subunit ribosomal RNA
Source: RNAcentral